GUUAAGCGACUAAGCGUACACGGUGGAUGCCCUGGCAGUCAGAGGCGAUGAAGGACGUGCUAAUCUGCGAUAAGCGUCGGUAAGGUGAUAUGAACCGUUAUAACCGGCGAUUUCCGAAUGGGGAAACCCAGUGUGUUUCGACACACUAUCAUUAACUGAAUCCAUAGGUUAAUGAGGCGAACCGGGGGAACUGAAACAUCUAAGUACCCCGAGGAAAAGAAAUCAACCGAGAUUCCCCCAGUAGCGGCGAGCGAACGGGGAGCAGCCCAGAGCCUGAAUCAGUGUGUGUGUUAGUGGAAGCGUCUGGAAAGGCGCGCGAUACAGGGUGACAGCCCCGUACACAAAAAUGCACAUGCUGUGAGCUCGAUGAGUAGGGCGGGACACGUGGUAUCCUGUCUGAAUAUGGGGGGACCAUCCUCCAAGGCUAAAUACUCCUGACUGACCGAUAGUGAACCAGUACCGUGAGGGAAAGGCGAAAAGAACCCCGGCGAGGGGAGUGAAAAAGAACCUGAAACCGUGUACGUACAAGCAGUGGGAGCACGCUUAGGCGUGUGACUGCGUACCUUUUGUAUAAUGGGUCAGCGACUUAUAUUCUGUAGCAAGGUUAACCGAAUAGGGGAGCCGAAGGGAAACCGAGUCUUAACUGGGCGUUAAGUUGCAGGGUAUAGACCCGAAACCCGGUGAUCUAGCCAUGGGCAGGUUGAAGGUUGGGUAACACUAACUGGAGGACCGAACCGACUAAUGUUGAAAAAUUAGCGGAUGACUUGUGGCUGGGGGUGAAAGGCCAAUCAAACCGGGAGAUAGCUGGUUCUCCCCGAAAGCUAUUUAGGUAGCGCCUCGUGAAUUCAUCUCCGGGGGUAGAGCACUGUUUCGGCAAGGGGGUCAUCCCGACUUACCAACCCGAUGCAAACUGCGAAUACCGGAGAAUGUUAUCACGGGAGACACACGGCGGGUGCUAACGUCCGUCGUGAAGAGGGAAACAACCCAGACCGCCAGCUAAGGUCCCAAAGUCAUGGUUAAGUGGGAAACGAUGUGGGAAGGCCCAGACAGCCAGGAUGUUGGCUUAGAAGCAGCCAUCAUUUAAAGAAAGCGUAAUAGCUCACUGGUCGAGUCGGCCUGCGCGGAAGAUGUAACGGGGCUAAACCAUGCACCGAAGCUGCGGCAGCGACACUAUGUGUUGUUGGGUAGGGGAGCGUUCUGUAAGCCUGUGAAGGUGUGCUGUGAGGCAUGCUGGAGGUAUCAGAAGUGCGAAUGCUGACAUAAGUAACGAUAAAGCGGGUGAAAAGCCCGCUCGCCGGAAGACCAAGGGUUCCUGUCCAACGUUAAUCGGGGCAGGGUGAGUCGACCCCUAAGGCGAGGCCGAAAGGCGUAGUCGAUGGGAAACAGGUUAAUAUUCCUGUACUUGGUGUUACUGCGAAGGGGGGACGGAGAAGGCUAUGUUGGCCGGGCGACGGUUGUCCCGGUUUAAGCGUGUAGGCUGGUUUUCCAGGCAAAUCCGGAAAAUCAAGGCUGAGGCGUGAUGACGAGGCACUACGGUGCUGAAGCAACAAAUGCCCUGCUUCCAGGAAAAGCCUCUAAGCAUCAGGUAACAUCAAAUCGUACCCCAAACCGACACAGGUGGUCAGGUAGAGAAUACCAAGGCGCUUGAGAGAACUCGGGUGAAGGAACUAGGCAAAAUGGUGCCGUAACUUCGGGAGAAGGCACGCUGAUAUGUAGGUGAAGCGACUUGCUCGUGGAGCUGAAAUCAGUCGAAGAUACCAGCUGGCUGCAACUGUUUAUUAAAAACACAGCACUGUGCAAACACGAAAGUGGACGUAUACGGUGUGACGCCUGCCCGGUGCCGGAAGGUUAAUUGAUGGGGUCAGCGCAAGCGAAGCUCUUGAUCGAAGCCCCGGUAAACGGCGGCCGUAACUAUAACGGUCCUAAGGUAGCGAAAUUCCUUGUCGGGUAAGUUCCGACCUGCACGAAUGGCGUAAUGAUGGCCAGGCUGUCUCCACCCGAGACUCAGUGAAAUUGAACUCGCUGUGAAGAUGCAGUGUACCCGCGGCAAGACGGAAAGACCCCGUGAACCUUUACUAUAGCUUGACACUGAACAUUGAGCCUUGAUGUGUAGGAUAGGUGGGAGGCUUUGAAGUGUGGACGCCAGUCUGCAUGGAGCCGACCUUGAAAUACCACCCUUUAAUGUUUGAUGUUCUAACGUGGACCCGUGAUCCGGGUUGCGGACAGUGUCUGGUGGGUAGUUUGACUGGGGCGGUCUCCUCCUAAAGAGUAACGGAGGAGCACGAAGGUUGGCUAAUCCUGGUCGGACAUCAGGAGGUUAGUGCAAUGGCAUAAGCCAGCUUGACUGCGAGCGUGACGGCGCGAGCAGGUGCGAAAGCAGGUCAUAGUGAUCCGGUGGUUCUGAAUGGAAGGGCCAUCGCUCAACGGAUAAAAGGUACUCCGGGGAUAACAGGCUGAUACCGCCCAAGAGUUCAUAUCGACGGCGGUGUUUGGCACCUCGAUGUCGGCUCAUCACAUCCUGGGGCUGAAGUAGGUCCCAAGGGUAUGGCUGUUCGCCAUUUAAAGUGGUACGCGAGCUGGGUUUAGAACGUCGUGAGACAGUUCGGUCCCUAUCUGCCGUGGGCGCUGGAGAACUGAGGGGGGCUGCUCCUAGUACGAGAGGACCGGAGUGGACGCAUCACUGGUGUUCGGGUUGUCAUGCCAAUGGCACUGCCCGGUAGCUAAAUGCGGAAGAGAUAAGUGCUGAAAGCAUCUAAGC
This 2758-nucleotide ribosomal RNA is filed under the name Escherichia coli. Its description in RNAcentral is "partial 23S ribosomal RNA". It matches the Rfam family "Bacterial large subunit ribosomal RNA". The record is from RNAcentral. Lineage: Bacteria; Pseudomonadati; Pseudomonadota; Gammaproteobacteria; Enterobacterales; Enterobacteriaceae.